GGGAACCGUAGGAUUGUGGGCUUUGCCUGCUAUCUCUUACCCAUGUCUUUUGAGUACUUACGUUUCCUCGGCGGGUCCGCCCGCCGAUUGGACAAAAUUAAACCCUUUGCAGUUGCAAUCAGCGUCUGAAAAACAUAAUAGUUACAACUUUCAACAACGGAUCUCUUGGUUCUGGCAUCGAUGAAGAACGCAGCGAAAUGCGAUAAGUAGUGUGAAUUGCAGAAUUCAGUGAAUCAUCGAAUCUUUGAACGCACAUUGCGCCCCUUGGUAUUCCAUGGGGCAUGCCUGUUCGAGCGUCAUUUGUACCUUCAAGCUCUGCUUGGUGUUGGGUGUUUGUCUCGCCUUUGCGUGUAGACUCGCCUCAAAACAAUUGGCAGCCGGCGUAUUGAUUUCGGAGCGCAGUACAUCUCGCGCUUUGCACUCAUAACGACCACCUCCAAAAAGUACAUUUUUACACUCUUGACCUCGGAUCAGGUAGGGAUACCCGCUGAACUUAAG
This 498-nucleotide ribosomal RNA is filed under the name Dothiorella sp. HL3628S. Its description in RNAcentral is "eukaryotic LSU rRNA". The stretch from base 146 to 299 matches the Rfam family "5.8S ribosomal RNA". Lineage: Eukaryota; Fungi; Ascomycota; Dothideomycetes; Botryosphaeriales; Botryosphaeriaceae. The record is from RNAcentral.